GUGGGUGUAGCUCAAUGGUUAGAGCACUAGGCUGUGGCCCUAGGGGUUGCGGGUUCAAUUCCCGUCACCCACCCCA
RNAcentral lists this transfer RNA (76 nucleotides) under Candidatus Goldiibacteriota bacterium. RNAcentral's name for it is "tRNA-His". It matches the Rfam family "tRNA". From Rfam's summary of the family: Transfer RNA (tRNA) molecules are approximately 80 nucleotides in length. Lineage: Bacteria; Candidatus Goldiibacteriota. The record is from RNAcentral.